This 293-nucleotide ribosomal RNA is filed under the name uncultured bacterium. Its description in RNAcentral is "partial 16S ribosomal RNA". The record is from RNAcentral.
GGACUACCCGGGUAUCUAAUCCUGUUUGCUACCCACGCUUUCGUGCCUUAGUGUCAGGAACGAGCCAGUAAUCUGCCUACGCCAUCGGUGUUCCUCCUAAUAUCAACGGAUUUUACCCCUACAUCAGGAAUUCCAAUUACCUCUCUCGCCCUCUAGCUCCGUAGUUUUGCUAAUGUGUAUUCGGUUGAGCCGAACGCUUUCACUAGCAACUUACGAUGCCACCUACGCAACUCUUUACGCCCAGUAAUUCCGGAUAACGCUUGGAUCCUCCGUAUUACCGCGGCGGCUGGCAC